This 818-nucleotide ribosomal RNA is filed under the name uncultured archaeon. Its description in RNAcentral is "bacterial SSU rRNA". It matches the Rfam family "Archaeal small subunit ribosomal RNA", at positions 57 to 867 of the family's 1478-position model. The record is from RNAcentral.
GUCUCUUGACUGCGAGAGGCGUGGCGAACGGCUCAGUAACACGUAGCCAACCUAACCUAAGACGUGGACAACCCCGGGAAACUGGGAUUAAUCCACGAUAGAUCAAGGCACCUGGAAUGGGCUUUGGUCCAAAAGGAUGAGUAAGCAUGUUUUAUUUAUCUGCUCUAGAUGGGGCUGCGGCCGAUCAGCUGUUGGUGGGGUAAUGGCCCACCAAACCUAUAACCGGUACGGGCUUUGAGAGAAGAGCCCGGAGAUGGACACUGAGAUAAGGUCCAGUCCUACGGGGCGCAGCAGGCGCGAAACCUUCGCAAUGCGCGAAAGCGUGACGAGGUUACUUCGAGUGCCACCCGCUGAGGGUGGCUUUUCCCAAAUCUAAAAAGCUUGGGGAAUAAGGGAGGGUAAGUCUGGUGUCACCGACGCGGUAAUACCAGGAUCCCCGAGUGGUCGGGACGUUUAUUGGGCCUAAAGCAUCCGUAGCUGGUCUUGUAGGUCUCCUGUUAACCCAACGGCCCAACCGUUGGACUGCAAGAGAUACGCAGGACUAGAGGCGAGAGAGGCGGACGGUACUCCAUGGGUAGUGGCAAAAUAUUUUGAUCCAUGGAAGACACCAUGGCGAAGCGGUCCGCAAACGCGCUCGAGGUGAGGAUGAAAGCUGGGGGAGCGAACCGGAUUAGAUACCCGGGUAGUCCCAGCCGUAAACGAUGCGAGCUAGGUGAUGGACGUGGCUGAGUGCUAUUCCAGUGCCGCAGGGCAAGCCGUUCAAGCUCGCCGACAUGGGGAGAUACGAGUCGCACAGACUGAAAACCUUAAAGGAAUUG